Haemorhous mexicanus (house finch) is the source of this 211-nucleotide long non-coding RNA. RefSeq lists it as uncharacterized. NCBI's taxonomy places the organism in Eukaryota, Metazoa, Chordata, Aves, Passeriformes, Fringillidae. The record is from RefSeq and is a predicted model, not a curated record. The transcript is spliced from 2 exons.
GAGGAGGGCUCAUUGCAAAGUGUCACGACAGGGUUCAGACCUGCAGAAUUGCAUUUGCCGGUACAUCGCCUUGGUUGUGCUCGUUACCUUACUUCCUUUGAAGGAACAAAGGACACAGCUGGCCUUCUCAACUGUAUUUUGCUAUGCCCUACUCUCAAGCUACCAAACUUUAGGAUGUAAAAUAAACACUUUUAUGCAAUAGUGAUAAAAA